AGUGAACGCUGGCGGUAUGCCUAACACAUGCAAGUCGAACGGCAGCACAGUAAGAGCUUGCUCUUACGGGUGGCGAGUGGCGGACGGGUGAGGUAUACAUCGGAAUCUACUUUUUCGUGGGGGAUAACGUAGGGAAACUUACGCUAAUACCGCAUACGACCUACGGGUGAAAGCAGGGGAUCUUCGGACCUUGCGCGAUUGAAUGAGCCGAUGUCGGAUUAGCUAGUUGGCGGGGUAAAGGCCCACCAAGGCGACGAUCCGUAGCUGGUCUGAGAGGAUGGUCAGCCACACUGGAACUGAGACACGGUCCAGACUCCUACGGGAGGCAGCAGUGGGGAAUAUUGGACAAUGGGCGCAAGCCUGAUCCAGCCAUACCGCGUGGGUGAAGAAGGCCUUCGGGUUGUAAAGCCCUUUUGUUGGGAAAGAAAAGCAGCAGGUUAAUACCCCGCUGUUCUGACGGUACCCAAAGAAUAAGCACCGGCUAACUUCGUG
Molecule: ribosomal RNA, 492 nt
Filed under: uncultured bacterium
Lineage: Bacteria
Description: partial 16S ribosomal RNA
Rfam family: Bacterial small subunit ribosomal RNA
Source: RNAcentral